GCGGCGGCAGGCCAGGAGAGGAAGAUGUUGAACUGGAGAGAGAAAGGAGGAGAAAAGAUUGGGGGGCUGGGCGGGAGGAGAAGGGUGUGUCUGAGGCCUCCGGCCCCUCUCCCACCUGCUCCCACAGAGACAAUGACAAGAUAAAAAAGAAAAUACUGAAGCUUAAGGAACGCCACGAAUCUCUGCAAGACGAUAUCUACACGCUGGAGGAACGUCUGUGUUCUUGCACCUGCCCUGAGAACCGAUCGAACCACGAACACAAAGAGAGCAAAAGGUGUGGCCGCUGGCCCCGGUCUUCAAGGAAAGGAGAGAGGGCAGGCGGCUGGCGGGGGUAUGGGGCGGGCGGUGGGGAGGAGCCUCGGUGGGACCGGAGGUGGGGGCCUGAGUGUGACAUCUCCCCCCUCCCUUUUUCCUCUCUCCCACCUGGGGCUUCCCCUUCAGGGCUGCGAACACAGGGCGACGGCUCCCGUGAGUACCCGAGGCCGGAUGCACCACCCCGUCCCCCCACGGAAACAAACCCCCUCUGGGGUUCAAUAAACUUCUCUCCGGGGCUGGGAACCCCUCUGAUUCCCAAAUGUUUGCUUCCUGGGGC
RNAcentral lists this long non-coding RNA (592 nucleotides) under Vombatus ursinus (common wombat). RNAcentral's name for it is "lncRNA (ENSVURG00010021520.1)". The record is from RNAcentral. Lineage: Eukaryota; Metazoa; Chordata; Mammalia; Diprotodontia; Vombatidae.